This 301-nucleotide ribosomal RNA is filed under the name uncultured bacterium. RNAcentral describes it as "partial 16S ribosomal RNA". It matches the Rfam family "Bacterial small subunit ribosomal RNA", at positions 509 to 807 of the family's 1533-position model. The record is from RNAcentral.
CAGUAGCCGCGGUAAUACAGAGGGUGCAAGCGUUAAUCGGAAUUACUGGGCGUAAAGCGCGCGUAGGUGGUUUGUUAAGUUGAAUGUGAAAUCCCCGGGCUCAACCUGGGAACUGCAUCCAAAACUGGCAAGCUAGAGUAGGGCAGAGGGUGGUGGAAUUUCCUGUGUAGCGGUGAAAUGCGUAGAUAUAGGAAGGAACACCAGUGGCGAAGGCGACCACCUGGGCUCAUACUGACACUGAGGUGCGAAAGCGUGGGGAGCAAACAGGAUUAGAUACCCGCGUAGUCCCUGUCUCUUAUAC